CCUACGGGAGGCAGCAGUAGGGAAUAUUGCUCAAUGGGGGAAACCCUGAAGCAGCAACGCCGCGUGGAGGAUGAAGGUUUUCGGAUUGUAAACUCCUUUUGUUAGAGAAGAUAAUGACGGUAUCUAACGAAUAAGCACCGGCUAACUCCGUGCCAGCAGCCGCGGUAAUACGGAGGGUGCAAGCGUUACUCGGAAUCACUGGGCGUAAAGAGCGCGUAGGCGGGAUAGCAAGUCAGACGUGAAAUCCUAGGGCUUAACCAUAGAACUGCAGUUGAAACUGUUAGUCUCGAGUAUGGGAGAGGGAGGUGGAAUGCUUGGGGUAGGGGUAAAAUCCGUAGAGAUCAAGAGGAAUACUCAUUGCGAAGGCGACCUGCUAGAACAUAACUGACGCUGAUGCGCGAAAGCGUGGGGAGCAAACAGGAUUAGAUACCCCAGUAGUC
RNAcentral lists this ribosomal RNA (440 nucleotides) under uncultured bacterium. RNAcentral describes it as "partial 16S ribosomal RNA". It matches the Rfam family "Bacterial small subunit ribosomal RNA", at positions 338 to 795 of the family's 1533-position model. The record is from RNAcentral.